GAAUGAAGUACUAAUAAACCCUAAGCAGCCGCCGCCUAGCCGCCGCCGUCUUGGUAAGGCUCGCCUCUCCGCGGAUGCUCGCAAGAGAAAGCUGAAAAAGCUCGGAGAUUGUGUGUUGACAUCAGCUUCGUCUCUUUAUGUCUGUGAGAUGGGAGUUAAAUGACAGCACGAAAUUCCAUUCUCUUUGGGUGCACUGGUGCAGUCCUCCCCACCUACAAGGAUCAGCCACCAUCACUGCCGCUGCUGCACCAUUGCAGCUUUCCUUUCUGGUCUGUGUUUUCGUGUUGCCUUCUACAUGUUCAAUUUGAUUUCUUUUCAUGGAUCAAUGGUAUAUGAUUUUUUUUCCUGUGUGUUUUGAAUCGUCCUCUCUUGCUCCUUAAGGUUGGGGCACCAAUAUCUCCAUGGUGUCACCAUCUUUGCAAGAAGGGGAUAGAUCGACGCGUCAAGAAAUCGUUUCUGUUGCCAUGGCUCCAGUAGGCAAUACGAUUGUUGCUUGCGUACAAUUUUUUCUUGACGCAGACUAGUUUCUUUUCUUGUGCUCUGCUGUAAAAAUUCUGUUUAUAUCUGUUCUGUUCAUGCACGGUGCUAACCCCGGGCUUGUCGGAUUGGAAUCCUCUGAAGAAUGAAGCCCCAAUGCCUGUGCUAGAUCCACCAUGCCAUUCAGUGUUGCAGGUCAUGAUGCUUCGAGCUCGUGAUUGGUCUGUGUCAGCGUAAUGGAUACAUUUCAAAACUAUAUCUUUCUUAGUGUUUUCUAUUUUUUUCCCUUGGAGUUUGAUGGCUGAUGGCAGUGAUUUGACAUUACCCGCACUUCUGAUCUAAUCCGUGAAGCAAAGGGAAAAAUAAUGGUUGAAUUUCUUAAUAUGAGCCGUUCAUUCAGCUAUCAUAUUUCCUCUAAAGUAUUUCUGUUUGUGUUCAUUAGAUUUACUUUGUUAGAUUUGGUGGUUUGGCAAUGAUGAUACAAACUUUCAGCUUACCAUGCCAGUUCUGCUUCUGAGAAUUCAUGACAGAUAAAGCUGAUAUAGAUCUGAGCUGAAUGUUUUUCUUUUUCUAUUAUGAGUUUGUAAUGUAGCAUCCAAAUAUGAAAUAUCUAAUGUGCCCAUGAUGAGCUGCCCAAUGAUUAGAGGGUGUAGUUGGCUCAAGUUCCUGUUCAUCAGGAAGAACCUACUUGCAGCUGCUGCAUUCACAUGUUAUCAACGGGCUUCCUGAGGUCAUAGAUACACUUCUUGUUCUGCUCGUCCAUCAAAUUCCGUAUUGUAGUAUCAGGGAUUCUUUUCUAGUUGAUACACAUUGAUUUGCUAGUUUUUUUUUAAAUGGAAAAUUCUGAUUGAGCAUUGAAUUAAUUUUCAUUGAGCAUUAUCGUGCUGCUUGCUCUUCUGCAGGAAUCUCCAUGAUACAAAACAAAACCAACCCUAGAUGUGUUCUAUUGCUGACACAGGGAGUUGUAAGUACAUGUUAAAUGGUGGCAUACUAUACAGCUGUACAAUAGACGCAAGAAACAAUAACCACUUACAUGCCAUCCUCCACCCUGAAAUAGAAAACCAUUUUUAGCAUGUUGGUGCUUCAUUUUGUAUUCCAUUGGGAUAUAAAAAUGGUAGAGAACAACCAUUUUUAACCCAAUUUUGUAUUCCUUUGCGGAUAUAAAUAUGGUAUAGAUUGUAACUUGAUAUC
This is a non-coding RNA of Oryza sativa Japonica Group (Japanese rice), 1668 nucleotides long. The record is from RefSeq and is a predicted model, not a curated record. Lineage: Eukaryota; Viridiplantae; Streptophyta; Magnoliopsida; Poales; Poaceae.